Molecule: ribosomal RNA, 656 nt
Filed under: Sporosarcina sp.
Lineage: Bacteria; Bacillati; Bacillota; Bacilli; Caryophanales; Caryophanaceae
Description: bacterial SSU rRNA
Rfam family: Bacterial small subunit ribosomal RNA
Source: RNAcentral
GAGCUUGCUCCCUGAUAUUAGCGGCGGACGGGUGAGUAACACGUGGGCAACCUGCCCUGCAGAUGGGGAUAACUCCGGGAAACCGGGGCUAAUACCGAAUAAUCGGUUCUUCCGCAUGGAAGAACUCUGAAAGACGGUUUCGGCUGUCACUGCAGGAUGGGCCCGCGGCGCAUUAGCUAGUUGGUGGGGUAACGGCCUACCAAGGCGACGAUGCGUAGCCGACCUGAGAGGGUGAUCGGCCACACUGGGACUGAGACACGGCCCAGACUCCUACGGGAGGCAGCAGUAGGGAAUCUUCCACAAUGGACGAAAGUCUGAUGGAGCAACGCCGCGUGAGCGAAGAAGGUUUUCGGAUCGUAAAGCUCUGUUGCGAGGGAAGAACAAGUACGAGAGUAACUGCUCGUACCUUGACGGUACCUCGUUAGAAAGCCACGGCUAACUACGUGCCAGCAGCCGCGGUAAUACGUAGGUGGCAAGCGUUGUCCGGAAUUAUUGGGCGUAAAGCGCGCGCAGGCGGUCCUUUAAGUCUGAUGUGAAAGCCCACGGCUCAACCGUGGAGGGUCAUUGGAAACUGGAGGACUUGAGUACAGAAGAGGAAAGCGGAAUUCCACGUGUAGCGGUGAAAUGCGUAGAGAUGUGGAGGAACACCAGUGGCG